CUGUAAGCCGUUGAAGGUGUGCUGUGAGGCAUGCUGGAGGUAUCAGAAGUGCGAAUGCUGACAUAAGUAACGAUAAAGCGGGUGAAAAGCCCGCUCGCCGGAAGACCAAGGGUUCCUGUCCAACGUUAAUCGGGGCAGGGUGAGUCGACCCCUAAGGCGAGGCCGAAAGGCGUAGUCGAUGGGAAACAGGUUAAUAUUCCUGUACUUGGUGUUACUGCGAAGGGGGGACGGAGAAGGCUAUGUCAGCCGGGCGACGGUUGUCCCGGUUUAA
This 271-nucleotide ribosomal RNA is filed under the name Enterobacter hormaechei. RNAcentral's name for it is "partial 23S ribosomal RNA". It matches the Rfam family "Bacterial large subunit ribosomal RNA", at positions 1241 to 1515 of the family's 2925-position model. RNAcentral also lists the same sequence under 2 other names. The record is from RNAcentral. Lineage: Bacteria; Pseudomonadati; Pseudomonadota; Gammaproteobacteria; Enterobacterales; Enterobacteriaceae.